RNAcentral lists this ribosomal RNA (497 nucleotides) under uncultured bacterium. RNAcentral describes it as "partial 16S ribosomal RNA". It matches the Rfam family "Bacterial small subunit ribosomal RNA", at positions 28 to 507 of the family's 1533-position model. The record is from RNAcentral.
GAUGAACGCUGGCGGCGUGCCUAAUACAUGCAAGUCGAGCGAACAGACGAGGAGCUUGCUCCUCUGACGUUAGCGGCGGACGGGUGAGUAACACGUGGAUAACCUACCUAUAAGACUGGGAUAACUUCGGGAAACCGGAGCUAAUACCGGAUAAUAUAUUGAACCGCAUGGUUCAAUAGUGAAAGACGGUAUUGCUGUCACUUAUAGAUGGAUCCGCGCCGCAUUAGCUAGUUGGUAAGGUAACGGCUUACCAAGGCGACGAUGCGUAGCCGACCUGAGAGGGUGAUCGGCCACACUGGAACUGAGACACGGUCCAGACUCCUACGGGAGGCAGCAGUAGGGAAUCUUCCGCAAUGGGCGAAAGCCUGACGGAGCAACGCCGCGUGAGUGAUGAAGGUCUUCGGAUCGUAAAACUCUGUUAUUAGGGAAGAACAAAUGCGUAAGUAACUAUGCACGUCUUGACGGUACCUAAUCAGAAAGCCACGGCUAACUACGUG